Molecule: ribosomal RNA, 449 nt
Filed under: uncultured bacterium
Lineage: Bacteria
Description: partial 16S ribosomal RNA
Rfam family: Bacterial small subunit ribosomal RNA
Source: RNAcentral
AACGAACGCUGGCGGCAUGCCUAACACAUGCAAGUCGAACGAGAUCUUCGGGUCUAGUGGCGCACGGGUGCGUAACGCGUGGGAAUCUGCCCUUUGGUUCGGAAUCACAGUUGGAAACGACUGCUAAUACCGGAUGAUGACGAAAGUCCAAAGAUUUAUCGCCAGAGGAUGAGCCCGCGUAGGAUUAGCUAGUUGGUGUGGUAAAGGCGCACCAAGGCGACGAUCCUUAGCUGGUCUGAGAGGAUGAUCAGCCACACUGGGACUGAGACACGGCCCAGACUCCUACGGGAGGCAGCAGUGGGGAAUAUUGGACAAUGGGCGAAAGCCUGAUCAAGCAAUGCCGCGUGAGUGAUGAAGGCCUUAGGGUUGUAAAGCUCUUUUACCCGGGAUGAUAAUGACAGUACCGGGAGAAUAAGCUUCGGCUAACUCCGUGCCAGCCGCCGCCGUAA